RNAcentral lists this ribosomal RNA (446 nucleotides) under uncultured bacterium. RNAcentral's name for it is "partial 16S ribosomal RNA". It matches the Rfam family "Bacterial small subunit ribosomal RNA", at positions 338 to 795 of the family's 1533-position model. The record is from RNAcentral.
CCUACGGGAGGCAGCAGUCGAGAAUCAUUCACAAUGGGGGAAACCCUGAUGGUGCGACGCCGCGUGGGGGAAUGAAGGUCUUCGGAUUGUAAACCCCUGUCAUGUGGGAGCAAAUUAAAAAGAUAGUACCACAAGAGGAAGAGACGGCUAACUCGGUGCCAGCAGCCGCGGGAAUACAGAGGUCUCAAGCGUUGUUCGGAAUCACUGGGCGUAAAGCGUGCGGAGGCUGUUUCGUAAGUCGUGUGUGAAAGGCGCGGGCUCAACCCGCGGACGGCACAUGAUACUGCGAGACUAGAGUAAUGGAGGGGGAACCGGAAUUCUCGGUGUAGCAGUGAAAUGCGUAGAUAUCGAGAGGAACACUCGUGGCGAAGGCGGGUUCCUGGACAUUAACUGACGCUGAGGCACGAAGGCCAGGGGAGCGAAAGGGAUUAGAUACCCCAGUAGUC